This 65-nucleotide transfer RNA is filed under the name Acerella muscorum. RNAcentral's name for it is "tRNA-Phe". The record is from RNAcentral. Lineage: Eukaryota; Metazoa; Arthropoda; Protura; Acerentomata; Acerentomidae.
AUUGAAUUAUCUUAAAAGAAAAGUAUAGUAUUGAAGAUGCUAUUAUAAAAUAUUUUUAUUCAAUA